UACGGAGGGUGCGAGCGUUGUCCGGAAUCACUGGGCGUAAAGGGCGCGUAGGCGGCCUGAUAAGUAGGGGGUGAAAUCUUGCGGCUUAACCGCAAGGCUGCCUUCUAAACUGUCAGGCUAGAGCACAGUAGAGGCAGGUGGAAUUCCCGGUGUAGCGGUGGAAUGCGUAGAGAUGUGGAGGAACACCGAUGGCGAAGGCAGCCUCCUGGGCCAGCACUGACGCUCAUGCACGAAAGCGUGGGGAGCAAACAGG
This 253-nucleotide ribosomal RNA is filed under the name uncultured bacterium. Its description in RNAcentral is "partial 16S ribosomal RNA". It matches the Rfam family "Bacterial small subunit ribosomal RNA", at positions 524 to 776 of the family's 1533-position model. The record is from RNAcentral.